GAUGAACGCUGGCGGCGUGCUUAACACAUGCAAGUCGAACGGAAAGGCUCCUGCUUGCAGGGGUACUCGAGUGGCGAACGGGUGAGUAACACGUGGGUGAUCUGCCCUGCACUUCGGGAUAAGCCUGGGAAACUGGGUCUAAUACCGGAUAGGACGAUGGUUUGGAUGCCAUUGUGGAAAGUUUUUCGGUGUGGGAUGAGCUCGCGGCCUAUCAGCUUGUUGGUGGGGUAAUGGCCUACCAAGGCGUCGACGGGUAGCCGGCCUGAGAGGGUGUACGGCCACAUUGGGACUGAGAUACGGACCAGACUCCUACGGGAGGCAGCAGUGGGGAAUAUUGCACAAUGGGCGCAAGCCUGAUGCAGCGACGCCGCGUGGGGGAUGACGGCCUUCGGGUUGUAAACUCCUUUCGCUAGGGACGAAGCGAAAGUGACGGUACCUGGAGAAGAAGCACCGGCUAACUACGUG
RNAcentral lists this ribosomal RNA (465 nucleotides) under uncultured bacterium. RNAcentral describes it as "partial 16S ribosomal RNA". It matches the Rfam family "Bacterial small subunit ribosomal RNA", at positions 28 to 507 of the family's 1533-position model. The record is from RNAcentral.